CCUACGGGAGGCAGCAGUAGGGAAUCUUCCACAAUGGACGAAAGUCUGAUGCAGCAACGCCGCGUGAGUGAAGAAGGGCUUCGGCUUGUACAGCACUGUUGGUCGGGAAGAAAGAUAGAGGUAUUAUCUGCCCAUUAUUUGACGGUAACUACUUAGAAAGUCACGGCUAACUCCGUGCCAGCAGCCGCGGUAAUACGUAGGUGGCAAGCGUUAUUCGGAGUUAUUGGGCGUAAAGCGAGUGCAGGCGGUUCAAUAAGUCUGAUGUGAAAGCCUUCGGCUUAACCGGGGAAUUGCAUCUGAUACUGGUGAGCUAGAGUGCAGAAGAGGGGAGUAGAACUCCAUGUGUAGCGGUGAAAUGCGUAGAUAUAUGGAAGAACACCAGUGGCGAAGGCGGCUCUCUGGUCAGCAACUGACGCUGAGGCGCGAAAGCAUGGGUAGCGAACAGGAUUAGAUACCCGAGUAGUC
This 465-nucleotide ribosomal RNA is filed under the name uncultured bacterium. Its description in RNAcentral is "partial 16S ribosomal RNA". It matches the Rfam family "Bacterial small subunit ribosomal RNA", at positions 338 to 795 of the family's 1533-position model. The record is from RNAcentral.